AAAAUGGCUUUUAUAAAAGCUACACAAUAGGAUAAACUGAAAAUAGU
Molecule: non-coding RNA, 47 nt
Organism: Ailuropoda melanoleuca (giant panda)
Lineage: Eukaryota; Metazoa; Chordata; Mammalia; Carnivora; Ursidae
Source: Rfam